This 377-nucleotide ribosomal RNA is filed under the name uncultured bacterium. RNAcentral's name for it is "bacterial SSU rRNA". It matches the Rfam family "Bacterial small subunit ribosomal RNA", at positions 521 to 896 of the family's 1533-position model. The record is from RNAcentral.
UAAUACGGAGGGUGCGAGCGUUGUCCGGUAUCACUGGGCGUAAAGGGCGCGUAGGUGGCCUCUUAAGUGUGUGGUGAAAGCCCGGGGCUCAACCCCGGGUCGGCCAUGCAAACUGGGGGGCUUGAGCAUUGUAGUGGCAGGCGGAAUUCCGGGUGUAGCGGUGGAAUGCGUAGAGAUCCGGAAGAACACCGGUGGCGAAGGCGGCCUGCUGGGCAAUAGCUGACACUGAGGCGCGACAGCGUGGGGAGCAAACAGGAUUAGAUACCCUGGUAGUCCACGCCGUAAACGAUGGGCACUAGGUGCCUGGGGGAGCGACCCCCUGGGCGCCGUCGCUAACGCAUUAAGUGCCCCGCCUGGGGAGUACGGUCGCAAGGCUG